RNAcentral lists this ribosomal RNA (253 nucleotides) under uncultured bacterium. RNAcentral describes it as "partial 16S ribosomal RNA". It matches the Rfam family "Bacterial small subunit ribosomal RNA", at positions 524 to 776 of the family's 1533-position model. The record is from RNAcentral.
UACAGAGGGUGCAAGCGUUAAUCGGCAUUACUGGGCGUAAAGCGUGCGUAUUCGGCUUUUCAAGUCGGGUGUGAAAGCCCCGGGCUCAACCUGGGAAUUGCAUUCGAUACUGGAUCGCUAGAGUUCGGCAGAGGGAAGUGGAAUUUCUGGUGUAGCGGUGAAAUGCGUAGAUAUCAGAAGGAACAUCAGUGGCGAAAGCGACUUCCUGGACCAGAACUGACGAUCAGGCACGAAAGCGUGGGGAGCAAACAGG